ACUACAAGCUGUAUCAUUUGUGUCCACAGAUGUUCAGUUGUUACAUUUUUCUUGGCAGGCUGUGCUGUUAGCUGACAUCCUACCAACACUCUUCAUCAAACUGUUCGCUCCCUUUGUGAUCCACAAAAUGCCUUAUGGCAUUCGAGUGUUGUUCUGUGCCAUCAUGGCAGCAACGAGUUUCCUCCUGGUGUCCUUCUCCUCAGCUGUGUGGAUGAGUAUUCUCGGAGUGAUCUUUGCCAGUAUCAGCUCAGGACUGGGAGAGUUGUCCUUCCUCUCUCUAACAGUAUAUUUCAGCAGG
Molecule: non-coding RNA, 298 nt
Organism: Maylandia zebra (zebra mbuna)
Lineage: Eukaryota; Metazoa; Chordata; Actinopteri; Cichliformes; Cichlidae
Source: RefSeq, a predicted model, not a curated record